This 484-nucleotide ribosomal RNA is filed under the name uncultured bacterium. RNAcentral describes it as "partial 16S ribosomal RNA". It matches the Rfam family "Bacterial small subunit ribosomal RNA", at positions 30 to 507 of the family's 1533-position model. The record is from RNAcentral.
AUUGAACGCUGGCGGCAGGCCUAACACAUGCAAGUCGAGCGGAUGAAGGGAGCUUGCUCCUGGAUUCAGCGGCGGACGGGUGAGUAAUGCCUAUGAAUCUGCCUGGUAGUGGGGGAUAACGUCCGUAAACGGGCGCCAAUACCGCAUACGUCCUGAGGGAGAAAGUGGGGGAUCUUCGGACCUCACGCUAUCAGAUGAGCCUAGGUCGGAUUAGCUAGUUGGUGGGGUAAAGGCCUACCAAGGCGACGAUCCGUAACUGGUCUAAGAGGAUGAUCAGUCACACGGGAACUGAGACACGGUCCAGACUCCUACGGGAGGCAGCAGUGGGGAAUAUUGGACAAUGGGCGAAAGCCUGAUCCAGCCAAGCCGCGUGUGUGAAGAAGGUCUUCGGAUUGUAAAGCACUUUGAGUUGGGAGGAAGGGCAGUAAGUUAAUACCUUGCUGUUUUGACGUUACCAACAGAAUAAGCACCGGCUAACUUCGUG